RNAcentral lists this ribosomal RNA (467 nucleotides) under uncultured bacterium. RNAcentral describes it as "bacterial SSU rRNA". It matches the Rfam family "Bacterial small subunit ribosomal RNA", at positions 29 to 487 of the family's 1533-position model. The record is from RNAcentral.
AGUGAACGCUGGCGGCAGGCCUAACACAUGCAAGUCGAACGGCAGCACAGGAGAGCUUGCUCUCUGGGUGGCGAGUGGCGGACGGGUGAGGAAUACAUCGGAAUCUGCCCUGUCGUGGGGGAUAACGUAGGGAAACUUACGCUAAUACCGCAUACGACCUUCGGGUGAAAGAGGGGGAUCGCAAGACCUCUCGCGAUUGGAUGAGCCGAUGUCGGAUUAGCUAGUUGGCGGGGUAAAGGCCACCAAGGCGACGAUCCGUAGCUGGUCUGAGAGGAUGAUCAGCCACACUGGAACUGAGACACGGUCCAGACUCCUACGGGAGGCAGCAGUGGGGAAUAUUGGACAAUGGGCGCAAGCCUGAUCCAGCCAUGCCGCGUGAGUGAAGAAGGCCUUCGGGUUGUAAGCCUGUCGAGCGGGAGAAAUGCAUGCUGGCUAAUAUCCAUCAUGCUUGACGGUACCGCUAGAGG